RNAcentral lists this transfer-messenger RNA (349 nucleotides) under Selenomonadaceae. Its description in RNAcentral is "Quinella sp015206805 Standard tmRNA". It matches the Rfam family "transfer-messenger RNA". From Rfam's summary of the family: Bacterial tmRNA, also known as 10Sa RNA or SsrA, is named for its dual tRNA and mRNA-like properties. Its role is to liberate the mRNA from a stalled ribosome. RNAcentral also lists the same sequence under 1 other name. Lineage: Bacteria; Bacillati; Bacillota; Negativicutes; Selenomonadales. The record is from RNAcentral.
GGGGAUGUAAUGGUUUCGACGGGGAUGGAUGAAGUUCGAUAAGCGAGUGCCGGGCUCCUCGAACCGGCUUAGCAAGGGGAAAAUUUAAUCAUAACUGCGAACGAAGAGUACGCACUGGCGGCUUAACGCCACGUCGCCUGCACCGAUUCCGCCCGUCAGGUCAGAUGCGACGCCAAUAACGGGCUACCACGCUUGAGCGCACUGCAUAGCGUCGGGAAACUCUAAAGUGCUUGGCGGCUCGGAGGUUGUCAUUGAACUUCGCGCCGUUGAAAUUAAUCAAUGACUGCACUCGGAGAAAGUCUUGCGGCAUCAUUUUCGGACAGGAGUUCGAUUCUCCUCAUCUCCACCA